Molecule: long non-coding RNA, 1875 nt
Organism: Nematolebias whitei (Rio pearlfish)
Lineage: Eukaryota; Metazoa; Chordata; Actinopteri; Cyprinodontiformes; Rivulidae
Exons: 3
Source: RefSeq, a predicted model, not a curated record
GGUGCUAUACCGUUGAAAAGCACACCAUCGACUGAAGCUCUUAGUCAGCAGCAAAAACCAAACGUCGACACCGAUGACUCCUCCGACAAGCCUGGCGCUCAGGAAACAUCUAACCACGAUGUAGAGGAGGAGUCCGCACAAGCGUAGGACCAAAAGUAAAAUGUUGUUGCGUGCUUCUGAAUGUGCAUCUGAAGCAGCUACACGUCUGAACUGAAGGAGGCCAGUAGGAUUUAUUCUGCGCGAACACAAGAACCGAGUGAGUUUCUGCUGGCUGGGUUUAAAACGCGACAAGCAUUUCUGUUCAUAUCAGUGUUACAGCGAACCCUCGGUGCGGUCUACUAUCUGGGAGGAAACUGACUUAAACCAUCUGCUCUUACUGGAAACAUGAUUCAUAUACGAAGAGACUCGCCUGAAUGAGACAACUGUGUUUUUUAUUGUGUUGGUGGUUCUAGUUUUGAUUCUCCAUCAACAGCAGCAUUGUCGCCUGCUGUGUGUGUGUGUGGGGGGGGGGGGGGGGAUGUUUUUAGCCACGUCACAGUUUGUAGAGGAAUGGAAAGAGCUUGGAAAAAAACAAAAAAAAGCAAUGUAAUAAUGUUAACUAUAAGCUGACGUGGCUGCAGCUAGAAAAUAAAAUUGACGAGAGGAGUGGAGACACCUGGGCAACAUCGCAACUGAACAGGUGAGAGUGGGCGGGGCAUGAGCUGAGGAAUGGGAACCAGCUAAGGAAGGGUGAACUGACCGCCUGAAAACAAAAAACAAGGAAAACCUUGUGGAAAACGAAUGUAAAACACCAAACAAAGACAAUCAUAAAGACAGAACGUGACACUGCAUGUUGGUGAGUUUGUGUUUCACUAAAUGAACCUUUGAAUCGGUCUAAUCCAAGAUGGCCGUCACACCCACCUCGCAUUAGGAUACACAUAAUGACUUUAAUUCAGACGUCAAACUAAAGUUUGGUCUAGUUCACGGGUCUGCAAUCUUUUUGAUCUAAAGAGCCACUCGCUGAAUAAAAUUUGUCUGGAGCCGCAAAACCUGCUUAUCAACUGGUGGCCCGUGGGCCACUUAGAGGUCGCUGGAGGAGGGCUUUUCUGUCCAUUUGGGCUGACAUUUUAAAACUAAAAAUAUAUAAUGAAUUUUUACAUUUAUUGAUAUUUUUACAUUUUAGAGUAAAAGGAAAGACCAAAAGUAGGAAAAAACAUUGUUUAUACUGAGUCUCUGCAGGAUUAUGAGUUUUUCUGACUUAUAAUUUUGUAGAGUCAGUGACGUGCAGUGAGGUUUGUUGACGGGUGAGGCACCGACUGUCUGGAAUCAAUGCUCGCAUAAUGAACCCAAAAUUAGGGAUGGGGCCGAUCUGGUAUCGGUAACGGCCUCCGAUACCAGCGUAAUUUACGUAUCGGGAUUUUUCCGAUCCAUGAUGAAUGUCUGUGUCUGAUGACCUGCUCUUCAGGUUGGCUUCAAACUAUGGAAUGGAUUUCCUGAACGGAGGCGUGUCUCGUGAACCCAUUUCAUCCAUUUCAUUGUUUGUAGCCAGCUACAACGUGAGUAAAUACUUUUUUGAGGGCUGAGCACUGAGCAGCACUGUUGCCAACGGCUAACCAACUUUUCAUCGUAACAUGUCCGCUGUGUGAAAAUAUUUUACACUAAACGCCGCAAGACAGCAACGUGCAAUGUCUGCAGAGCCACUGUACCGAGAGGAGACCUACAAUACACCGAACUUAAACAUUUGAAAAAGCAUCACAUUAAAGCGCACGAGGAUUGUUUAGCCAGGCACCGCGGUAAAGUUAGUUUUACGUUGGGCGUUCGAGCUCCGUGGCUUCAGCGGUGUGUUUCUCUCGUUAAGUCCGAAGCAGACAGUCGUAUCCACUUUAAAGCUAGGAA